Molecule: ribosomal RNA, 467 nt
Filed under: uncultured bacterium
Lineage: Bacteria
Description: partial 16S ribosomal RNA
Rfam family: Bacterial small subunit ribosomal RNA
Source: RNAcentral
GACGAACGCUGGCGGCGUGCUUAACACAUGCAAGUCGAACGGAAAGGCCCUGCUUUUGUGGGGUGCUCGAGUGGCGAACGGGUGAGUAACACGUGAGUAACCUGCCCUUGACUUUGGGAUAACUUCAGGAAACUGGGGCUAAUACCGGAUAGGAGCUCCUGCUGCAUGGUGGGGGUUGGAAAGUUUCGGCGGUUGGGGAUGGACUCGCGGCUUAUCAGCUUGUUGGUGGGGUAGUGGCUUACCAAGGCUUUGACGGGUAGCCGGCCUGAGAGGGUGACCGGCCACAUUGGGACUGAGAUACGGCCCAGACUCCUACGGGAGGCAGCAGUGGGGAAUAUUGCACAAUGGGCGGAAGCCUGAUGCAGCAACGCCGCGUGCGGGAUGACGGCCUUCGGGUUGUAAACCGCUUUCGCCUGUGACGAAGCGUGAGUGACGGUAAUGGAUAAAGAAGCACCGGCUAACUACGU